Amphimedon queenslandica is the source of this 210-nucleotide long non-coding RNA. RefSeq lists it as uncharacterized. Lineage: Eukaryota; Metazoa; Porifera; Demospongiae; Haplosclerida; Niphatidae. The record is from RefSeq and is a predicted model, not a curated record. The transcript is spliced from 2 exons.
AGAAAAUGCAAAAAAAUCUGAAAUAGUGCAAAAAAUUACUAAUACUGCAAAACUAAAGCGGCUCUCAAAGAAACAAUUGAAAAUGAUUAAGAAACGUUAAAUUGAUAUUAUAAUAAAUACAUUUUGGGAUUUUUUUCAUCUAUCAAACAUUAGGUAUAUAUAGGUUUAAUUGGGUUGCAAAUUUAGGUUCAUGAUAUCAAAAACAGCUUA